AGUAGGGAGGUAAGGUAGUGUAGUUAACACCUGCUAUUAUUUUGACGUUACCUACAGAAGAAGCUACCGGCUAACUCCGUGCCAGCUAGCCGCGGUAAUACGGAGGGUGCGAGCGUUAAUCGGAAUUACUGGGCGUAAAAGCGCAUGCAGGUCGGCCUGUUAAGUCAGAUGUGAAAGCCCGGGGCUUAACCUCGGAAUUGCAUUUGAAACUGGCAGGCUAGAGUCUUGUAGAGGGGGUAGAAUUUCAGGUGUAGCGGUGAAAUGCGUAGAGAUCUGAAGGAAUACCAGUGGCGAAGGCGGCCCCCCUGGACAAAGACUGACGCUCAGAUGCGAAAAGCGUGGGGAGCAAACAGGAUUAGAUACCCUGGUAG
RNAcentral lists this ribosomal RNA (371 nucleotides) under uncultured bacterium. RNAcentral's name for it is "bacterial SSU rRNA". It matches the Rfam family "Bacterial small subunit ribosomal RNA", at positions 438 to 793 of the family's 1533-position model. The record is from RNAcentral.